This 595-nucleotide ribosomal RNA is filed under the name uncultured Bacteroidales bacterium. RNAcentral describes it as "bacterial SSU rRNA". It matches the Rfam family "Bacterial small subunit ribosomal RNA", at positions 28 to 616 of the family's 1533-position model. Lineage: Bacteria; Pseudomonadati; Bacteroidota; Bacteroidia; Bacteroidales. The record is from RNAcentral.
GAUGAACGCUAGCGGGAGGCUUAACACAUGCAAGUCGAGGGGCAGCACGAGGUAGCAAUACUUUGGUGGCGACCGGCGCACGGGUGAGUAACGCGUAUGUAACCUACCCUGUACAGGGGGAUAGCCCGGAGAAAUUCGGAUUAAUACCCCAUAAAGAUAUGAGAUGGCAUCAUUUUAUAUUUAAAGUUCCGACGGUACGGGAUGGGCAUGCGUAACAUUAGCUAGUUGGCAGGGUAACGGCCUACCAAGGCAGCGAUGUUUAGGGGUCCUGAGAGGGUGAUCCCCCACACUGGUACUGAGACACGGACCAGACUCCUACGGGAGGCAGCAGUGAGGAAUAUUGGUCAAUGGGCGCAAGCCUGAACCAGCCAUCCCGCGUGCAGGAAGAAGGCGCUAUGCGUUGUAAACUGCUUUUGCAGGGGAAGAAUGUUUCGCAUGUAUGCGGAAUUGACGGUACCUUGUGAAUAAGCAUCGGCUAACUCCGUGCCAGCAGCCGCGGUAAUACGGAGGAUGCGAGCGUUAUCCGGAUUUAUUGGGUUUAAAGGGUGCGUAAGCGGAUUGAUAAGUCAGUGGUGAAAUACUGCAGCUUAACUGU